RNAcentral lists this ribosomal RNA (241 nucleotides) under uncultured bacterium. Its description in RNAcentral is "partial 16S ribosomal RNA". It matches the Rfam family "Bacterial small subunit ribosomal RNA", at positions 92 to 334 of the family's 1533-position model. The record is from RNAcentral.
CGACCGGCGCACGGGUGAGUAACGCGUAUGCAACCUGCCUGAUACCGGGGUAUAGCCCAUGGAAGCGUGGAUUAACACCCCAUAGUACUUUUAUCCUGCAUGGGAUGUGAGUUAAAUGUUCAAGGUAUCGGAUGGGCAUGCGUCCUAUUAGUUAGUUGGCGGGGUAACAGCCCACCAAGACGAUGAUAGGUAGGGGUUCUGAGAGGAAGGUCCCCCACAUUGGAACUGAGACACGGUCCAA